AAUUCCAUGGAAAUUCGAGAUAAUUCCAUGGGAAUUCGGGACAAUUCCAUGGGAAUUCCAUCGUGGCCGUGGCUCUUCCCCGGCUGCCGAAGACGCUCCAAGAAUUUGGAUUUUAUUCGGAAUCGGCGCCAAAUCAAUCUGGGAAUUUUCUCCUUCCAGAGGGAAAUCCAAGGGCUCCCUGAGUUUUCCUGGAAUGUUCAGGUGAAAUCCAAGGGUGUUGGAGCAGGAAUUCCAGGUGGGAAUUUGGAUUUUUCCAGCCUGGAUUUGGAUUUUCAGCCACAUUUCAGGUGGGAAUUUGGAAUUUCAGCCGCAUUCCAGACAGAAAUUUGGAUUUUUCCAGCCUGGAUUUGGAAUUCCAGCUCCAUUCCAGGUGGGAAUUUGGAAUUCCAGCCUCAUUCCAGGUGGGAAUUUGGAUUUUCAGCCUCAUUCCAGGUGGGAAUUUUGAUUUUUAGCCACAUUCCAGGCGGGAAUUUGGAUUUUUCCAGCCUGGAUUUGGAUUUUUCCAGCCUGGAUUUGGAUUUUUCCAGCCUCAUCCCAGGUUGGAUUUUGGGUUUUCCAAUCUCUUUCCAAUGCUGGAUUUUCCUUCCCCUUCCAAAUAAAUUUUUUGGGAUUUAUCCUGAAUUAUCCAUCAAUUCCAACAUUCCUGAUCAAUUCAACGAUCCAGAACCAGCUGAAAUUCCAAUUUCCAAAGGAAUUCUGGGAUCCAAAAAGUUUUUGACGUUGUUUUUUUUAUCCCAUUAAAUUCAUCUCCUCCCCUUUCAUUCCCGGUUUUUUUUUGGGAAUCAUCCAAACACCGAAAAAAAAAUAAAAUUUGGAUUUUAAUUGGAGGAAUUUUGUUG
Molecule: long non-coding RNA, 839 nt
Filed under: Parus major (Great Tit)
Lineage: Eukaryota; Metazoa; Chordata; Aves; Passeriformes; Paridae
Description: lncRNA (ENSPMJG00000003261.1)
Source: RNAcentral